GAUGAACGCUGGCGGCGUGCCUAAUACAUGCAAGUCGAGCGAACGGACGAGAAGCUUGCUUCUCUGAUGUUAGCGGCGGACGGGUGAGUAACACGUGGAUAACCUACCUAUAAGACUGGGAUAACUUCGGGAAACCGGAGCUAAUACCGGAUAAUAUUUUGAACCGCAUGGUUCAAAAGUGAAAGACGGUCUUGCUGUCACUUAUAGAUGGAUCCGCGCUGCAUUAGCUAGUUGGUAAGGUAACGGCUUACCAAGGCAACGAUGCAUAGCCGACCUGAGAGGGUGAGCGGCACCACUGGAACGGAGACCCGGCCCAGACUCCUACGGGAGGCCGAAGUGGGGAAUCUUCCGAAAGGGGCGAAAGCCGGACGGAGCAACGCCGGGGGAGUAAUAAAGGUCUUCGGAUCGUAAACCUCUUUUAUUGGGGAAGAAAAUAUGUGUAAGUACCUGUGCACUUCUUGACGGUACCUAAUAAGAAAGCCACGGCUAACUCCGUG
RNAcentral lists this ribosomal RNA (497 nucleotides) under uncultured bacterium. RNAcentral's name for it is "partial 16S ribosomal RNA". It matches the Rfam family "Bacterial small subunit ribosomal RNA", at positions 28 to 507 of the family's 1533-position model. The record is from RNAcentral.